Molecule: non-coding RNA, 74 nt
Organism: Aedes albopictus (Asian tiger mosquito)
Lineage: Eukaryota; Metazoa; Arthropoda; Insecta; Diptera; Culicidae
Source: Rfam
UGUUCUGUGGCUUAGUUGGUUAAAGCGCCGGUCUAGCGAAUACGGAGUCGUGGGUUUGAAUCCCACCAGAACGC